CACUUGGAUAUUUGGGAAACUAGCGAUGAGAGGGUAGAUUCACCGGAAAACUCUGAAACCAAAGGGACUGGUGUGAAAGAGGCAAGUAAGAAGACCAGAGUUUCCUUUCCACCUCCAGCAAUCUUGGGCCCUCCUCUCCUGUCUCUCAAGCUCAAUAAUCUGCAACUUCAAGUGAACGUCUCCUUGCCACUCACUUCCUACCGAAGGAGAGAUGGCUCGUUCAAGUCAGUUAAGGAUGUGAAAGUGAACGUGGAGUACAAGGUGGUGCUGUGUGAGGUGGACACCUUGAUCUGCACAACCAAGACCUGCAAACACAAUGCGAAAAUCACUUGCUUCCAGUUUAACUUCCUGAGACCAAACUGUCAGUACUGUAUUAGCAGCAGAGUGGAAGGCCACCAAAGCAAAGAGGCUAAACUCUGCAUCAGGACUCAGUUCAAGCCAAUAGGCUUGGAAUGGGUCGUCAUAAUUGUACUGACGGUCCUGGUAGUGCUGGUGCUGUUGGGGUGGAUCGUGUUCUUCUUCCUCAAGCGCUACGUGCAUCCCUGCCAAGCCGAAGCCCAGAUUCCCCGAAUACUGGCAACUUUCAAAGAAGAACUAAACGCGGACCUGCCCUGUGAGGAACCUGAAGUAGAAGCGAAUUCAGUCUUUCUGCUCUCGCCUGUCGAGAUCGUCUCGGCCGGAGAGGGUACCACCAAGCGACCGAGUUCCCCGAGCCAGGAGCUUUCAGGAAUCUACAAGGUCGACGGCGGGGCUGAAGACUAUCAGGAUAACGGGGUGGAUCCAGGCUACUCGGAGGCCUCUUCCAGGAAGACGGAUAGUUCAGAAGCUCUAGAUUUUGAAGCUUCCCCGGAGGCACCGAACUCGGCGAUCGGCGGCCAUCUCAGGCGUCUCCAUUGCUUUCCCCCACACCGGCGUCCGACUACGGAAGCGAGCAGCCUCCACCCGGGGGCCGGACCGCUAGACGCGAUGACCAAAGAGGCCUCCGCUGACGAAAGGGAUCACCGGGCCGAACCGACCUGGCAUAACAUUCCUCUGGCUUCUGUGAAAUUGCAAGGAGGUCAAGAGGCUGGGGACUGCCUUGGGCCUCUGAGAAGACUGUGUGAGACUGAGGCUAACGGGUCAAGCCGGGAAAGCUUAGAAGAUGUGGAAAAUGAUCCUGGCGGGUCCCUACCCGCGGGCCGUGACCAGCCUGGCCUGCCAGAUUUGCCAGGUCCUCGAGAUUAGGAAACCGAGGGGUUGGAGGCACUAGCAUGUGGCAGUGCCCCUUAGAAGGACGUGCGGCGUCUUUUGGCCUUCGAGCUGCUGCCGUGUCCCCUGGCUCCAAACACCCUGACGAGACCAUGCCUGAGGUGAUGGCCAGAUGGAAGUCCCCAGAGGUUCAAUGCCCAGAAGGGAUAUGGACUAAGAGAAAGGGCUUGAAAAAGAAAUGUAUGCCAGCGUCGAUGGGAUUAGCGUUGGACCCGGCAGCAG
RNAcentral lists this long non-coding RNA (1470 nucleotides) under Ornithorhynchus anatinus (platypus). RNAcentral describes it as "lncRNA (ENSOANG00000032532.2)". Lineage: Eukaryota; Metazoa; Chordata; Mammalia; Monotremata; Ornithorhynchidae. The record is from RNAcentral.